AACUAAUGCAGCCUUAAAUAGUUCCUUGAGAGCAAAGACCAAGUUUCCGUUUCCUCAUCAAAUCCACGGCGUCGUCGGGCAUAGUAGGUACUGAAUUUUUGUUGAAAACAGUGAAGUGGUAAACCCAGAAAAACUAUGUGAGGCCCAAAGGUCAAGGAUGCUGAGAGAAGAGAGUAACUUGCCCAAGGUCACACAGCUAAUUAACAGCAGAGCUGGGAUUGGAACCUAGGAGGUCCCCUCGAAAUACUUAUCUCUGAGGAUUUUCAGACUUCUACACAUAAACUGAGGAGGAGGAAAGCUACACAAACCAGUGCUACCUGAAGUGUGGUCUGUGGACCGGCAGCUCCAGUGGCCCCUGGACGCUCGUUAGAAACGGCAUUUCUCGGUGUGUUCUCAGAUCUACUGAUCAGUAACUGAUUGCAGGUGCGGAGCCCAGCAGCCGUGCUCAACAACCUCUCCAGGGGAUUUGGACGCACGCGAAGGUUUGAGCGGCACUGUUGCGGAGGGUUUUCAUGCAUUCUUCAACAAAUAUUUAAGGAUGAUCCCUAGAAGGGGCCGGUGGCUGUCCCGGGAGGAUAAGACACAGAUGCUCUCCUCAAGGAGAGUAGCUCCUUCUUGAUGAACCCCUUCUCAUCCUUCAAGAUACUGUUCAAGAGCCCCCUGGAGGACCCCACAGCCCACGGCACGUAGACUGACUGUGGCCACACCGGCGCCGCCGGUGUCUUCACUAGCGCCCCCACACCUGUCCUCCCACCUGGAGGCCUGUCCCUGCGAAUUGCUCUUCCCAACCGUCCCGUGUUCUGUGCGGCCUCCGUGCUCCUGUGCUCACUGGUCUCUCCGUGAAGCCUUCCCUCCUUCAAGGGCCGCUCCCGGGAAGCCUCCCCGCCCUCCGUGCGGACCGUCACUGUCCAUCCCUCUGCGUCUCCUGUGUGCCUCCACUGGGCCUCUCUCGGGUCAUAAGGUGAGAUGUUUUAUGUCUGGUUUUCCCCUAAACUAGAAGUGUGCAUUUUAAAUUUCUAGA
Globicephala melas (long-finned pilot whale) is the source of this 1021-nucleotide long non-coding RNA. RefSeq lists it as uncharacterized. The record is from RefSeq and is a predicted model, not a curated record. Lineage: Eukaryota; Metazoa; Chordata; Mammalia; Artiodactyla; Delphinidae.